This 253-nucleotide ribosomal RNA is filed under the name uncultured bacterium. Its description in RNAcentral is "partial 16S ribosomal RNA". It matches the Rfam family "Bacterial small subunit ribosomal RNA", at positions 524 to 776 of the family's 1533-position model. The record is from RNAcentral.
UACAGAGGUCUCAAGCGUUGUUCGGAUUCAUUGGGCGUAAAGGGUGCGUAGGUGGCGCGGUAAGUGGGGUGUGAAAUUUCGGAGCUUAACUCCGAAACUGCAUUCCAUACUGCCGUGCUUGAGGACUGGAGAGGAGACUGGAAUUUACGGUGUAGCAGUGAAAUGCGUAGAUAUCGUAAGGAAGACCAGUGGCGAAGGCGAAUCUCUGGACAGUUACUGACACUGAGGCACGAAGGCCAGGGGAGCAAACGGG